CACACGAUAGUCCAUCUCGAUAUCAAGUAUUUACAUUUUUUCAAUAUUAGGGGCAGUUGAAAAAGUGGAUAAAAUUGUUGCACAGCAGGAAAAAGCAAAUGGAAGGACCACAGGAGGACAUCCUGUGCACCGAGGUGUUGCUCGUCACGGCGAACGUGGGAAGUCUCUUCGAGGAUCCAGAGCGGCUGCUCCAGCUAUGGCUUCACGAAUUCCUCGACAAGGUGACGCACGUUCAGGCCAAGUUCCUGGCACUGCACCUGCAGGAAGUGGGCGGCAAGACCUACGAGAAAUCCAUGGAAUACGUGCAGGAGUUCAUCAAAUCCCUCUGCGAUGCACCUGUCAUGGCAGACUACACUUGCGUGCAAAUAUUCAUGGAUGAGGACUUCAAGUCGGCCGAAUAUUUUACGGCUCUUGGAAAUCUUUAUUUUGUCCACCAAGACGUUGCGUCGUUGAAACUGUGGAAUUUCCUGACCCACAGUUGGGAGGAGGACCUUCAAGUGAUUAAAGGUAAACAUAUCUAUUCAGGAAACAUAGAAACCAUUGCCACCAAGGAGAAAUCCAAAUUUCCGCAACAUUUUUUCCCCGAGUGCAAGUGGUCGCGAAAAGGUUUUAUGCGAACACGCUGGGAAAUAAAUGGAACUGUUAUCGAUCUAGUCAAUAUUCACCUAUUCCACGAUGCAUCCAACCUGGCUGCGUGCGAAAACUUCCCCUCCGUUUAUUGUAAAACCAGAAGAAGAGCUUUAGUUCAUACGAUUGAAAGGUUCCAUUUGGACAAAGUGAAUGGCACUGUUCCCUUUUUCCUCUUUGGUGAUUUUAAUUUUAGAUGCGACACCGAGGGCGUUGUAAAAGAACUCACUCAAAACUUGACCGCCCAUCGAGUGCAGAAUAUUAAGAAUGAGAACGAUAAAAUCAACUAUCGAAACUCAACAGGGGACAACGUACUUACUGUGGGAAAAAAAGAAUUUAGUCAUGCCGAUCAUCAAUUAAAGUUUAAAGAAGACUGGCUUAAAAAAUAUGAUAGGGAACUGGAACCACUCAAGGACGUGCUAGUCGAAUACCCCAUUCAGUUUGUGCCAUCAUAUCCUUUUGAAGAAGAUCCCGAAAUGCCGACGGAUUAUAUGUCCACUCGAUGUCCGGCGUGGUGUGAUCGAAUUUUAAUGAGUCCCCAGGUCCAGGAGAUCGUCAAGAAUGAUGAAUCGACGUACGGCAUGAUUGGGGAAGCGGUAUGCAUGGGCGACCACAAGCCUGUUUACUUAACUGUCCGUCUUAAACCAAACAAAGGUACUUAUAGAUCUUGUGAUUGCAACACGCAUACUUACGCAACCUCCAACGAUAUCUCAACAUCACCUCUGCCCGCAGUCAAGCUGAAGUUCUGUCCGUACUCGAAUAAGCUCUUCAAAGAAAUAGCCACCAGUACGACGGAGUCUCGAAACAUGUACAACUCCCUCAAAAUUAGUCAAGACGAGGAGCCGGACAAGACGAGCUCCCCCAACUUUCCGAAUAUUAGUAUUAACAUUAUUGACUCAGAUAAUAUCUGUAUGUGCUUGUGCGCACAUCUAUCUACCAAUAACCUCCAGUUCGAUGAUAGUGGCCGAGCUGACGAAACCAUUUGCCCCAUGUGUCGGAAUAUAAUCAAAAAGCAGCCAGUCGCCCACCGAUAUAAGCUCGUGUCGAAGCGACUCAUGUUGACCCAAGAGAUUAUAAUCAACCGUAUCGACACGCAGCACCUUAGUACUGACUCUGAGCGACUGUUCGAGGACCCGUACACUCCCGAGAGCACCGAGUCGCACUCCCCAUAUCCGGAAGUUACUAGCUCGUCCUCGAGCAGUUCUCGCAGUCCACUUGACCGUAGAUUCAUGCCGGAGAAAGUUGUAGAGAGUAAAGCGGGUGAAAUAGACGCUUCGCCUCUGCCAGAGUCGAGCAAUAGCCCGGAGAAGCCAUCCCGAGGCACGGUUACUCCCGGCCAACUUAAGUCUAGGCUAGAGACCCUGAAGCGCUUGUCCCUUAAAGGCGAAGGAGACGUGGAAUCGAGCGCGGAUGCGGGAGCGGGUGAUGUUGACAAAGUUGAUGCUGCUCCACCGCGCCAAAGACGCAGCUCUAGUGUUAUUCCUAUGUGUUGUACUAUCCACUAAUUCCAGUUGUUGUUUGUUAUUUUGAUUUAUAUUUUGUUCUUAAGUAAAAUAUUUUAAAAUCGGCGACUAGAAUACUGCUUUUUAAAGCGCCAUACACUUUAUAAAUUCGCAUAGACGACGGAAUGAAAUAUUUCUUUCCAUCUGCAUGCUCAUCAUACCAAAAACUUGCUGAAAGGCACUUACUGUAUCAUUUUAGAAGAAGAACCAUUUCGCAUUGCUAUUUAUAAAAGUAUUUUAAGCCAACUGUUUUUUUUUAAACUAAAUCUCAUCAACAUUGUCAAGGAGUUUCUAAAGUGCUUUUAUUUUAGAAAGCAAACAUACUUUUAAGUUCCAGAGCUGUGUUUUGGUUUCACUUUGUGUAAAUAUAUUUAUUUUAAACUAUCGGAAUCGAAUGUAAAUAGGUAGAGUAAUGUCUAGCUUCCAUCUAAAUAUUUGGUUCCUUCUCGCAUUAGCAGCAGUUCGGUUUAAGCCUGUAUUAAAAUAUUUCUUCGAAUCUGUGUUUUAAUUAUGUAUGUAUGUAUAUUGUUUAUUAUGUGUUCCGUCUAUCUUAAGAAAAUAAACUACGUUUUUUUACCUCACACAUCUUUUCUUUUCAUUUGUACUUUAUUCUAUUUUUUAAUAUUUUCAGUUUCGAUUUUCAAAUAAUUUACAAGCUGUUAACUGAUCAAAAGAAAUCUUUGUAAACGGCCUGCCCUUUGAACCGGUCCAGCGGAUCCUAAAUCUUUCUCAAAAAUACCGGAGGGCUUGGCGCAGC
This is a non-coding RNA of Drosophila bipectinata, 2886 nucleotides long. The record is from RefSeq and is a predicted model, not a curated record. NCBI's taxonomy places the organism in Eukaryota, Metazoa, Arthropoda, Insecta, Diptera, Drosophilidae.